UAACUUCUGUAAUAUAUUUAACACCCCAAAAAAAAUACACCACAAACAUAUCCAAAUUCGAAUAAUUAUCUUCUCAAACUAAAUAGAACAUGUAUUUUCUAUUUACAAUGUUGUCUACCCGAGGGAGACUCGUUAAACCGUUUGGGUUGAUUCAGAGUAACAUUUCGAGUCCCUUCGGGUUGUUUCUUUUUACGCCUACCUUGUUGUGACAUACGAGCAUGAUAAGACAAAAUGGCAAAGUCAUUUAGGUCAUGCAAUGGGCUCAGGGAUUUAACAACUUCAUCCAUCGAGGGUCUGGCCUUUGAAUCCCGGCUCAAACAAUUGUAUGCUAUCUGAGCAACCUUUUGGACACCUUUCACGGAGUAGUUUAAUUCCAAUCGAGGAUCAACUAGUUGAUACACUUUUCUCUUGUCGGCUAGAUAUGGGCGGGCCCACAUAACAAGGUUUUGCUCUCCACUUGGGCGCUUUUUGUCCAUUGAUCUCCGACCUGUCAAGAUCUCUAAGAGUACAACUCCAAAGCUAUAAACAUCGCUCUUAGACGUCAAAUGUCCUUACCAGUCAUCACGUAUUCGGGGGCAGCAUAGCCGUAUGUUCCAACGACCCUAGUAGAGACAUGGGUCUUAUCUCCUUGUGGUCCUGCUUUUGCUAGACCAAAAUCUGAAAGCU
RNAcentral lists this long non-coding RNA (666 nucleotides) under Helianthus annuus (common sunflower). RNAcentral's name for it is "sRNA HanXRQr2_Chr06g0264681". Lineage: Eukaryota; Viridiplantae; Streptophyta; Magnoliopsida; Asterales; Asteraceae. The record is from RNAcentral.